RNAcentral lists this ribosomal RNA (542 nucleotides) under uncultured bacterium. RNAcentral describes it as "bacterial SSU rRNA". It matches the Rfam family "Bacterial small subunit ribosomal RNA", at positions 777 to 1317 of the family's 1533-position model. The record is from RNAcentral.
AAUAGAUACCCUGGUAGUCCACGCCGUAAACGAUGGGCGCUAGGUGUGGGAGGUGUCGACUCCUUCCGUGCCGCAGCUAACGCAUUAAGCGCCCCGCCUGGGGAGUACGGCCGCAAGGCUAAAACUCAAAGGAAUUGACGGGGGGCCCGCACAAGCAGCGGAGCACGUGGUUUAAUUGGAUGCAACGCCAAGAACCUUACCAAGGCAUGACAUGUUCGGGAAAGCCGGAGAAAUUCGGCCCUCCUUCGGGACCCGAUCACAGGUGGUGCAUGGCUGUCGUCAGCUCGCGUCGUGAGAUAUUGGGUUAAGUCCCGCAACGAGCGCAACCCCUGUCCCAUGUUGCCAGCGAGUAAAGUCGGGGACUCAUGGGAGACUGCCGGUGACAAAUCGGAGGAAGGUGGGGAUGAUGUCAAGUCAUCAUGCCCCUUAAGUCUUGGGCUACACACGUGCUACAUUGGCCGGUACAAAGGGCUGCAAUACCGCGAGGUUGAGCGAAUCCCAAAAAGCCGGUCCCGGUUCGGAUUGGAGGCUGCAACUCGCCU